UACGGGAGGCAGCAGUGGGGAAUAUUGCACAAUGGGCGCAAGCCUGAUGCAGCCAUGCCGCGUGUAUGAAGAAGGCCUUCGGGUUGUAAAGUACUUUCAGCGGGGAGGAAGGCGAUGCGGUUAAUAACCGCGUCGAUUGACGUUACCCGCAGAAGAAGCACCGGCUAACUCCGUGCCAGCAGCCGCGGUAAUACGGAGGGUGCAAGCGUUAAUCGGAAUUACUGGGCGUAAAGCGCACGCAGGCGGUCUGUUAAGUCAGAUGUGAAAUCCCCGGGCUUAACCUGGGAACUGCAUUUUGAACUGGCAGGCUUGAGUCUUGUAGAGGGGGUAGAAUUCCGAGGUGUAGCGGUGAAAUGCGUAGAGAUCUGGAGGAAUACCGGUGGCGAAGGCGGCCCCUGGGACAAAGCUGACGCUCAGGUGCGAAAGCGUGGGGAGCAAACAGGGAUUAGAUACC
Molecule: ribosomal RNA, 454 nt
Filed under: uncultured bacterium
Lineage: Bacteria
Description: bacterial SSU rRNA
Rfam family: Bacterial small subunit ribosomal RNA
Source: RNAcentral